This 82-nucleotide transfer RNA is filed under the name Candidatus Dojkabacteria bacterium. RNAcentral's name for it is "tRNA-Leu". It matches the Rfam family "tRNA". From Rfam's summary of the family: Transfer RNA (tRNA) molecules are approximately 80 nucleotides in length. Their secondary structure includes four short double-helical elements and three loops (D, anti-codon, and T loops). The record is from RNAcentral.
GCCGCGAUGGUGGAAUUGGUAGACACGCCGGUCUUAGGAACCGGUGCCUUCGGGCAUGGGGGUUCGACUCCCCCUUGCGGCA